Molecule: unclassified non-coding RNA, 378 nt
Filed under: Trichomonas gallinae
Lineage: Eukaryota; Parabasalia; Trichomonadida; Trichomonadidae
Description: partial contains ITS1, 5.8S rRNA and ITS2
Rfam family: Eukaryotic small subunit ribosomal RNA
Source: RNAcentral
CAAAAAGCUCGUAGUUGGAUCUUGGGAGCUGGCGGGCGGUCCGCCGCGAGGCGAGCCACCGCCCGUCCCCGCCCCUUGCCUCUCGGCGCCCCCUCGAUGCUCUUAGCUGAGUGUCCCGCGGGGCCCGAAGCGUUUACUUUGAAAAAAUUAGAGUGUUCAAAGCAGGCCCGAGCCGCCUGGAUACCGCAGCUAGGAAUAAUGGAAUAGGACCGCGGUUCUAUUUUGUUGGUUUUCGGAACUGAGGCCAUGAUUAAGAGGGACGGCCGGGGGCAUUCGUAUUGCGCCGCUAGAGGUGAAAUUCUUGGACCGGCGCAAGACGGACCAGAGCGAAAGCAUUUGCCAAGAAUGUUUUCAUUAAUCAAGAACGAAACUCGGAGU